This is a non-coding RNA of Hydra vulgaris (swiftwater hydra), 368 nucleotides long. NCBI's taxonomy places the organism in Eukaryota, Metazoa, Cnidaria, Hydrozoa, Anthoathecata, Hydridae. The record is from RefSeq and is a predicted model, not a curated record.
CACGCAAAAGCAUUUAUUUAAAAAAACAAAUUGAGUAAAACUAGUAUGAAAAAAGAAAACUGCGAAAAAAACAGAUACUUAAGAUGAAAAAGUGAAUAGUAAGAAAAAUCUGUAAAAAAUGUAUAAUGAAGAAAUAGUUCUUUGUUUAUACUUCUUCUACAGAUUCAUAUAUUAUAACGAAGAUUCAUAAAAAAGGGAUAUGAUAUUAAAAAAAACAACAUUCAAGGCAUUAACUUUAGCUAUCAAAUCUUUUAUUUCGUCUGGAUUAGCAUCUCCUGCUGGAAUAACUUCAAUAUCAAGUGUUCUUGGUCUUUUUCUUCCUCCUGUUUUGUCAGAUUUUUUUCUUGUAUUUCGACGAAGUUGUGUUA